UACGAAGGGGGCAAGCGUUGUUCGGAAUUACUGGGCGUAAAGCGUGCGCAGGCGGUUCGCAAAGUCUGAUGUGAAAGCCCCGGGCUCAACCUGGGAACUGCAUUGGAAACUAACGGGCUCGAGUGUGGCAGAGGGGGGUGGAAUUCCACGUGUAGCAGUGAAAUGCGUAGAGAUGUGGAGGAACACCGAUGGCGAAGGCAGCCCCCUGGGCUAACACUGACGCUCAGGCACGAAAGCGUGGGGAGCAAACAGG
Molecule: ribosomal RNA, 253 nt
Filed under: uncultured bacterium
Lineage: Bacteria
Description: partial 16S ribosomal RNA
Rfam family: Bacterial small subunit ribosomal RNA
Source: RNAcentral